AGAGUUUGAUCCUGGCUCAGAGUGAACGCUGGCGGCGUGCCUAAUACAUGCAAGUCGAACGGACAAGUAAGAGCUUGCUCUUAUGAGUUAGUGGCGCACGGGUGAGUAACGUAUAGUUAAUCUGCCCUACACUGGAGGACAACAGUUAGAAAUGACUGCUAAUACUCCAUACUCCUUCUUAACACAAGUUAAGUCGGGAAAGUUUUUCGGUGUAGGAUGAGACUAUAUUGUAUCAGCUAGUUGGUAAGGUAAUGGCUUACCAAGGCUAUGACGCAUAACUGGUCUGAGAGGAUGAUCAGUCACACUGGAACUGAGACACGGUCCAGACUCCUACGGGAGGCAGCAGUAGGGAAUAUUGCUCAAUGGGGGAAACCCUGAAGCAGCAACGCCGCGUGGAGGAUGACACUUUUCGGAGCGUAAACUCCUUUUGUUAGGGAAGAACACUGACGGUACCUAACGAAUAAGCACCGGCUAACUCCGUGCCAGCAGCCGCGGUAAUACGGAGGGUGCAAGCGUUACUCGGAAUCACUGGGCGUAAAGGACGCGUAGGCGGAUUAUCAAGUCUCUUGUGAAAUCUAACGGCUUAACCGUUAAACUGCUUGGGAAACUGGUAAUCUAGAGUAAGGGAGAGGUAGAUGGAAUUCUUGGUGUAGGGGUAAAAUCCGUAGAGAUCAAGAAGAAUACCCAUUGCGAAGGCGAUCUACUGGAACUUAACUGACGCUAAUGCGUGAAAGCGUGGGGAGCAAACAGGAUUAGAUACCCUGGUAGUCCACGCCCUAAACGAUGUAUACUGGUUGUUGCUAUGCUAGUCAUGGCAGUAAUCCACCUAACGGAUUAAGUAUACCGCCUGGGGAGUACGGUCGCAAGAUUAAAACUCAAAGGAAUAGACGGGGACCCGCACAAGCGGUGGAGCAUGUGGUUUAAUUCGAAGAUACGCGAAGAACCUUACCUAGGCUUGAUACCCAACAAAUCUCUUAGAGAUAAGAGAGUGCUAGCUUGCUAGAAUGUUGAGACAGGUGCUGCACGGCUGUCGUCAGCUCGUGUCGUGAGAUGUUGGGUUAAGUCCCGCAACGAGCGCAACCCACGUAUUUAGUUGCUAACGGUUCGGCCGAGCACUCUAAAUAGACUGCCUUCGUAAGGAGGAGGAAGGUGUGGACGACGUCAAGUCAUCAUGGCCCUUAUGCCUAGGGCGACACACGUGCUACAAUGGCAUAUACAAUGAGACGCAAUAUCGCGAGAUGGAGCAAAUCUAUAAAAUAUGUCCCAGUUCGGAUUGUUCUCUGCAACUCGAGAGCAUGAAGCCGGAAUCGCUAGUAAUCGUAGAUCAGCCAUGCUACGGUGAAUACGUUCCCGGGUCUUGUACACACCGCCCGUCACACCAUGGAAGUUGGGGGCGCCCGAAGUUGGUCAAGAAAUAGAUUACCUAAGGCGAAACCAAUGACUGGGGUGAAGUCGUAACAAGGUAGCCGUA
Molecule: ribosomal RNA, 1471 nt
Filed under: uncultured rumen bacterium
Lineage: Bacteria
Description: bacterial SSU rRNA
Rfam family: Bacterial small subunit ribosomal RNA
Source: RNAcentral